Long non-coding RNA from Helianthus annuus (common sunflower), 1842 nucleotides. RefSeq lists it as uncharacterized. Lineage: Eukaryota; Viridiplantae; Streptophyta; Magnoliopsida; Asterales; Asteraceae. The record is from RefSeq and is a predicted model, not a curated record. The transcript is spliced from 2 exons.
AUGUGGGAUUCUAAGUUAAGAUUUACAAGUUAAUAAACUUAAGGGGGGAAACAUGGUAAAUGCCAAACUAUUAGGUUAAUAGUGAGAAAAUCACACAACCCAUUUCUGGGCGUGUGUGUGUGUGUACGAGCAGAGCAGAAGAAAGGAAGGGGGAGCCCUUCUCAAACCCUAAGCAACGAAUUGGAAGGAUUCUGGCCGAAAUCGAACCUGCAUGAACCUUAAUAGUGAUAAUCUAAGCAAGAUGUAACCAAGGAACGUGUCAAGGAGAGCUCAAGCAUAGGAGGAUAACGGGUCAAGAUAAGGCAAGGUGACAAAUACACUUAUUGGAGUACUCAAGGUAAGUGAUUUCCGUAGUCACUUCUUAGUUUGUUUAAGUAAUACAACGCUUUAUUUAAUUAGACAUGAUGUUUGAUGUCAAUUAUGCGUUGAAGUCUUUCAUUGUGCAUAAUGGGAAUAAAGUUGAUUAAGACGCCCUUGAUGGGUAUGUUGGGCGAACAAUCUUAAAGUAGACUAUAAGGAAGCUAUUCGAUUAGUGUAAUGGUUAUGGUCUAGUGUGAAAAUGUGGAGUAUGGUUUUGUAUGUCUUAAACCAUUUAAUGCGUAAAUAACCAUAACGGGUCGAAAAUAAGCAUUUGAGCGAUAAUGGGUUAAGAGGAUGCAAGACAUCCGAGAAUUUAAUCUUUUAUGAUAGAUGUCAACAAAAUUAUUAAGUUCAUAUAAGAUUGAGGUCAAAUAAUCAGAUUAUGUUGAUGUACGCUCGAACGGGUCAAAUAGUUAGAAAAUGAUUAUAAGUCGAAUGCAUGUAAGUUAAGAAUUUCCUUAAUCCGGAUGUAGGAUUUUAAGUUCAUAUGAAAGAAUGUGAAUGUACAAGCAUGUAGGAAGAAACCGGAGGUUAAACGGGUAAACGGUUUAAAAGUUAUGCGAGUUUUAGUGCGUUCGAACGACGAAAGCAGCACAGCAGAAAAAUGGCAAAAGCAGAGGCCGUCGUCGACGCCCCUAUGGGCCGUCGCCGACGCCUCGUGCUUUUUCAGUUUGCUCUGACGUCCUAUUUUCCUGUCUACGGGGUUUUUUAAGCUACGGGAAAAACUAAAAGCCGUCGCUGACGGCCUCCCAAUGUUUAGAAUGCUGAAAUUUGUUAACUAAGUUGUUUAAUGUAUCGUAAGCUUCAGUAUAUCAACCGUGGUCUAUGGUAAGCCUUCUAAACCAAAUUUUGGGUGUUCUCUUGAUGUUUUUGGAUUCUAAACCCAAGAAUAAGCACCAUAUAAAUAAUGUACGAACACGAUAAGUGUAUACGAACAAGUUAAACAAGAAUUGGAUGUAAGUAAAAUAUGCGUAGACACGAAUAUGUAAGCACGCAAGUACGUAUGCAGGUAUGCUUGGUUUCAAUAUGUUUGGGUAAGGAUCUCACUAACAAUGUGCUUGAGAUUGGUAGGUAAUGCAGGAAUGAGAACGACGGAUUCUCGUGGAAUGGAAGCUGAACUCGGAACGAGAGAAUCCGAGAGGAUAGUUGGAUAAAUCAAAGUUUACUUUGUCGAAUGUUAUACUAUUUAAUUAUAUGUGAAUUUGGUUGUACGAUGAUGUCAAUGACUAAUGGUUAAGUUGUAUGCGAUGCCCACAGGUACUACUCGGACUCCUUCUACCUUUGAGGAUGAUAAGCGGGCGUGGAUCGAGUCGAAGAGCAAGGAUUGUACGGAAAGAACGGUCACAUAGUUUAAAAUACGUAAUGCUUUGAAACGUUAAUUUAAUGUAAAUAUUGUAAACCUCUUCCAGUAAGCGCUUAACAUUUUCGUAUUUGAGCUUUUAUGUAAGUAAUGUGUCUAAUAAAGAAAGAAAUUUUAAGACU